Molecule: long non-coding RNA, 4800 nt
Organism: Varroa destructor (honeybee mite)
Lineage: Eukaryota; Metazoa; Arthropoda; Arachnida; Mesostigmata; Varroidae
Source: RefSeq, a predicted model, not a curated record
UAGAUGAACACUAUUCCUUAUGUAUGUAUGUAUGUAACAACGAUAAAGAAUAAGAAGUCGUAGGGUAAGAUGAGCAGUUCAACGGCAAUAGCAACAUUAUCCUGUAGCAGAAGAAACGUUCGCUUUCUGAUUUGUCAAGCGCUGUGUCCUUUAACUGCUCAGGUAUCGCUGACUACAUACUGACGGCGUGACAAAUCUAGUAAGCGGAUGUUCGUAUAGGGGCAAACGCAAAGUUACCAUCUUCCGUUUACGUAGUAAGCAAUCGACCGCAUACGGCUUCGUUAACGAUAGCGCGAAGUUAGAGGACAAACUACGGGUUAUUAAACAAGUGAGUAAAUCUACUAAGUGAUAGGCUUAGCUUGGUACGGAUACGAAAUUCUAUAGAAGCUGAAUUUCGUGGGUUGCCAAUUUAUUGCACGAAGUGCAAUAAAUAAUUUAUCGGGUGAUCAUGGCAUUGUUACAAUCGAUCGGUUCUUGGUUAUACACACGUGACGCUUAAAAUGUUAUAUAUAUUACUUAAAGCAACGAACGCUUUAAGACGAUAAGCAUAGACAUAUUGAUUGAAUUACGCCGGUUUAACCAUUGACCCAAGGCAUUUUCAGCAGCGUUCAGCUCAGGUCCCAUUGCAAAGCCAUACUACAACGACAACGAUGCAAGAUUACAUCGUUGGUUAAAUCAUUGAUAAUUAGGUUUGAUAUGACAACUAAUCAACGUGAGGUAACCUAUACCUAGGGCGAUAAUAUCAGAGUGUUCUCUAGCUCCGGUAGCCUUCAACUGUCGCGAUGCACUUUUCGGUCUGCUGAUUGAGUACUCCGUGGUCCGGCCAGGUACAGAAAGAAUCGAGCAGAACGUUGUGCAGACAAACGGAACAAGGCUUCAAUCCCCUAAUUCCAUCUAAUGAUAGCUCGGGCAUGCGGGCAUCGCUAUACAGGUUUUCGUCAUUGGUAAAUUUGCUUCACGAUCUUGUAGCCUGUAUAGUACGCGUUCGUGGCUGGAGCAAAGCGUUGCCAUGGCAAACAGAAAUGGCAGAGAACACAUGGACUGACAAAAGAACCCAACCCAGAAUUACAACUCGAACGCUGCAGCGGUGACUUUAUCCACUUACAAGUACAUACAUGGCCAACCGGCUUUCGUUUCUCAUCGUUUUGCCUCGGCCCUUGGCGGAAAACCUAUCCAUAUCUCGACUACAAUGCUAUCAACUGUAACUGACUUUCGAGGCAUCGAAGACUUCAUCGUGGCUUUCAAGUUUUAGACCCAGAAUGUGGACCCACAGUGUAUUAUAGUGGAACCCAAAUAAAAGGCUUUUGUUAUAAAAUACUUGAAUUUCAACUUCCCAAGUAAACUUAAAAUGUCCCGCUGAUUCAAAACAGUUUUUGGUCCAGCCGCUUCCUAUGUCUGAUUAUCUUCAGUCAUCACCGACGGUUGCCCGCCUCUUCAUCAAAUAUAAUGGACACUACAAAGCGUACUAGACAAGACCCGCUAGACCACCACAUGAGUGGACAUCAUCUCGUUUGACUAAAGAUAUUCUGUAUAGAAAAUUACGUUUUCUGUACUGCCCCGAAGAAAGCAACGGUGGCCCUGACGCAUGCUGGCACCCGAAGCCACCGAGGCCAGAGCAGAUAUUUGCGAUUGUCAAGUGAUUGUUUUGACACUGAAGACCGCAUCGUAAUGGGGGAUGCCACCAAACGCUGAAGUCGUUCGUUGUACAUAUGGUUAGUCAGGUUAUUGUGUCGUUUGCUUCAUCGUCAUUUGUAUGUAGUACACACUCGUAUAGAUGGGAAUAUCAACGAAAGUCGAUUAAGGCUGACGCUGGCGUCUGGUGGAGUUCCUCGAAGCGAAUUUGUCGAUGUCCUCAACAUCCUGUACGCUUACAUACAAACGGUGACCAGUCAACAAUAGUAAUACUGUAUAAUACCUCGACUUUAUAUGUUGUUGACUGUAACGUUGUAAGAGUCCCUUUAGUUUGGUUCAUGUUACUACUGCCUAAUAGCAAAGAGGAGGAUGAACUCAUAUUAUAUAUAAGUAUUGUAUAUAAUGCUGACUCUUUUGGACGAAGCCGAGAUUUAUCAGCGAGCCCUAUAUAAGGUCUUCUAUAAUAGUAUUUACUGCUCUAAAUAUUUUUUGCCACUGGAGCAAGAAAUGAUAGGAAAUCAGAGGAAAAAAGCUAGCUGACGCAGGAAAUCGGAAUGAUUGGAUGAUCUAAUGAUGACACCAAGAUAACGUGUUCGCGUGCUAAACCUAGAGACCCGGGCGUGAGUACACUCCGCUGUGUAUCGGAAGGAGCCAGCCGUUGAAUCAAUACAUAAUUAACUAAAAAGCCGAAAAAUUUAAAAACGGACUUACACACACACACGAGCGGAGAUGGAUAAAAAAAAAACAGUGGCCUGAUUCUGCAGAGCCUAAUUCAAGAACGCCAAUCAGCUAAGUAACUGGUGCUAUUGGUUAUUAAAUGUCACCUAUUCAAAUGUAAAAGUAUGUUGACCACUGAGAAAAGAUAUUAGUUAAUCAAAUGCUCUUUCAAGUAACUCACAUAGACAGACUCGAUCGUAGAAUUUAUUCUAUCCUUAAUUAGUAAUACUUGAUAACCACAGUUUCUUUGUAGAUCUUGCUAAUUACAAGGUUGUCUGAGAUGCCUGACUACCCGACGAAUAUUAGUAAUACAUUUAUGCAUAUAAUAAAACAUAUUAUCCUGCCACAUACGCAUAAUGUUUAUGUAGUAUUUGAACCCAAGUGAAUAAGACUAUCUCGUGAGGAUUACCCAUAAUUACAGGAGGGACAUUUUAUCAACGAUCAUGACAAGGGUACCGACUGUCAUGAAGGACAGUUAUACUACUAUAAAUUGGGUAUCACAUCAGCUUAAGUCCAUAACGGCUUUUACCGUAUGUUCUGCUGAGAAGGCCUGUCAGACGCACGCUGGCAGUUCUCACAAACGUCCCAUUGGCGAUUAAUCCCAGUUUCGCUUGAUUUCGCUGGCACAUUUGUUGGAAUAGGACUUAAAUGCAAACGAGACUGAGCUGAAUCACAAUCGCAGUAGUUCCCGCCGCAAUUUUUCGGUAGUUGAGCGAUUCAAAAAGUUCUACGCGCGUGAUUAUAAGUUAGAUAAAAAGGCCUUGAUGACUCGGUGAAGCACGGCCUAGCUGCAAAAAUAAUAUCAUUGUCGGGAUAACCUUGAAAUGCGAAGACAAGCCAAUCCCCUAUACAUAUAGAGAAUAUAAUUAUCUACAGUAUUCAAAAUUUAUAUAAAUCUGUAAUGCAUGCCAUGUUUACACUUCAUAGGCAUAUUACAGUUCUAAUUUGAGCAGAUGGUAAUAUUCGAAAAAGCAUCUGCUAAGAUGAAGAGCCUAUACCUUUCUGUCCUGAAUAACGGUCUCACCUAACCACGUAGUACGAUAUAUAGACAGUCUAAAUAACAGUCCAAUAAAAGGCCGUCCAGUUGCAACGACGGCUUUAGUGUGAGAGAUCGUUACUGGUGACAUCAUGCCUUUGUCUCAACAAGGAAUACCUCUUAUAACUGCGUAAUAUUCAUUGCAUGUAAGUGUAGUCCAAAUUAUCUCACGCCUCCUUUCUGACCCUCACCAUAGCCCCUUUAACAGUGACUAGUACUCCCGGAUAUAGAAGCCGCACGAAAGGGGUUGCGUGGUCGAUUACGAUAUAGUACACAACAAGCGGCUCCUGUAUCAUACUGUCCAUAAACACGAGCCAAAGGGACAAAAGCGGAGCUAGAUAAGCAAUUCCGCCUAAUAGGCUCUGUCCAAAUCCUGUCUGGAUAACAGCGAUAGGGGUAACGGAUAAUUUCAGUUUGAGAUGGCUAUCUCGAACAUUAUCACAUAAGAAACUAAGCCUGCACCGUGGUAGGCUAAGUCCGAGUUAUGUUGUAUACAGUCACGUGCAUGCACGGGCAGACCUCACAACCAAAGACGAAGAGAUCUACGGAGAUGUUUACGUAUUCAAAAAUGCGAGCAGACAUAAGCACACAUACACACGAAUAAACAGAUGAAGGGAGCCGUAUGUACGUAGAAACGGCCGUGAGCGAGUCGUGCACUCUGGCUCCGCUGUGUAAAGCACACAAAGUUGUUGAGACUGAUGUUUUUCAAUCAUAUAUGAAUGUUUAUUAUACAGGUACGUGCAGGAAAGUUUUCAUACAUGCACGUGCAAGCCGAUGCUCACAGCAGACAAGUCUUGCACUUACUCCAAUUACUGUGGAUUGUAAAAGUACCGCACCUGGCGUCGCACGAAAGGUUGCACAGCAACGGUGCUGAAACUUUGCAACAAACACCGACUGUCUGCACGUUGUCAGUCCACCACCACAAACAGCCCUCUCUCACGUUCCCCAUUUCUUUAAUUAAUUCAGGCAUCGCAGCCAGAUACAGCUGGCGAUUGCGUGAAAGAUGGAGACACCAGCGGCGGGGCGGCAAGCACUUGACGGGGCAGAAGGCCGAAUAUGACCCACCGCGCUCGGGCAGUGCAAAUCGUGGCGCGUCAUUCUAAAUGUCGCAGACGCUCAAGCAGGCGUCGGCGGCAGCCACAGCAAGAAGUAUUCUUUGCGUGGCUCCUGCAACUCUCCAGCUCAUUCGCUGGUACCCGAUUGUCGCGUGGCUACUUCACGCAGACGAUGCUGCUGACACUCGCGUUGCUAUGUCUGAGUCCCUGUUAUCGUUGGCCUUUACUGCCAGCAGCUGUUUCCCGAUGCGGCGGUGGCUGUUGCUUCUGCUAGACGGGGAUGAGAGGGGCUGGGGGCGGCACCGGAGGCAAUUGCUGGUUGGACCACGUUGGAGCUGUCUUCAGUCGUUUGUGUGACUA